UACGUAGGGUGCAAGCGUUGUCCGGAAUUAUUGGGCGUAAAGAGCUCGUAGGCGGUUUGUCGCGUCUGCUGUGAAAACCCGAGGCUCAACCUCGGGCCUGCAGUGGGUACGGGCAGACUAGAGUGCGGUAGGGGAGAUUGGAAUUCCUGGUGUAGCGGUGGAAUGCGCAGAUAUCAGGAGGAACACCAAUGGCGAAGGCAGCUUGCUGGGCUACUCCUGACACUGAGGUACGAAAGCGUGGGGAGCGAACAGG
Molecule: ribosomal RNA, 253 nt
Filed under: uncultured bacterium
Lineage: Bacteria
Description: partial 16S ribosomal RNA
Rfam family: Bacterial small subunit ribosomal RNA
Source: RNAcentral